ACAAUGCAAUCCUCCCUCCCUCGUCCUCCACGGCGAUCUAGCUAGAUGUAGCAAGCAAGCAAGCAAGUACGCAAGCGCGUGCAUAAGCUUCUGAAAGUUCUGUCCAGCGAGGGGGAAAGUGUAUUAAUUACAGAUCAAGUCAAAGUGGUUGCACACUUGUAGGUGGUCGUGAACCCAGCCAGCCCCCGAAGCUUCGACCGAAACCUAGUUUACAAAGUCAAUGUAGGACAAAAAAAAAUAUAAACAAAACUGGCUGGGGGGAGGGGGGUGAGGAAUAUUUCUCACUUGUGACUGGAGUGUUGGGGCAUCGGAAGUCAAUGGCAGUAGAAGGAAGGAAGUAGAGCCAGCAUCUUUGAGAGAGUAGAGUGGGAGUAGAGCCUCUUGUGGCCACUUGAAGGGCCUGUUGCGGUGGAUGGGAGCAGAUUGAGGCCGAUGAUCUCGUCGUUGAUGCACAUUUGUGCACGUUUCGAGAUCCAUAUAUUCUUUCUAAAGUAAAGAGAAUUACACCCUCACUCACACACACAUACAUACAGACACACCGAAGAGGAAGAAGGGAGUGCAGAAUUAGCGCGUGAAGUGCUGGAUUAGUGAAAAUCUUUUUUUUGUGCGUUUCGAACUGUGCAGUCACGAGAUGAUUCCAGGAAUUGGUCAUAAGUUCCAAGCGAAGGAGGAGGACAAUGGGACAAGGUGGGUGAGACGGGAUCUGGGAGAAGGCGGAGCGUUUUGCCGUUGUGCGCAGAAUUUGAAUGUUCCUCGCCAUGAUUUGGUGGUCCAGUGGUGUACAGACGGAGAGACAUGGAAAGCAGGGGGAGCUUCGGGACAGUCUUCUCAUCAUUAGCGCAACAAAUAGCUGCACACUUUUCAUACUUUUGUACAGUGUUUUUGGAGUUUCUGUGGAGUAGGUGGAACGGUAUGGGGGAGACUCUUGAGGUGGAUAAUAAUAAUAAUAAAAACUUUGUUUUGUUUUGUUUUGUUUUAUAUUUAUUUAUUGUCCCCCCCCCUCCCCCCUUUUCUGUGUUUCGGAAGCGACUUUUGCAUUCCAAAGGUGAGUUGGUGGAGCAUAGAGUUAUCUGGUGGGGGCAGCAAGCAAUGCCUCAAGUGUUGGCGGAGGUUGUACGGCACGCCGUCCUUAUCUUGCGUCUUUUUUACUCUGCUGCUACUUGUGCUGCUGCGGCAGCGGAUCAACCUUCGCUGAGGACUUGAGGGUGGGUUCGUGUUCUCGCCAUCGUACUUGGUCCCUUGCUACGCGUGCAUCACCAGGUUUCCUCGGGAUGGUGUGCAUUCUUCGCCCUCUGCCGUUCCAGAGGAUGAACAUAAACACAUUCAAGGCUUGCAGUGUGCACCGUGCUUGUGUAAGUCUCAUGUGUGGAGUGCUGCCCUAGAUGUGUGGUCGAGUGAAGAUCCUUACAUAAAUGAGUUUCUUCAAUGCUAUCUGGGGCUUACCUCUACAAAGGAUUGAAGCUCUGGAGUGAGGAUGACAAAUGGGAAAUGUCGAAGCAACAAAUAGUGUCCUAUUAUAAGGUACGAGAUCAUCAACUCUUCCACUGCUGUUCUCUGGGUCUGCAAACUUCAUGCUCCAAGAAUGGCUCUGGGUAAGAAACCUAACUUAAUGCAGCUUUUUACAUGUUGAAUUGUCUAAACCCUAAAUCCUGAAGCUCUUUCUUUCUUUUGAUUCUUUACCCAUUUCUGUGUAGUAUCAAGUGCAAGCAAUUAUCAGCGUCGUGUUUUCCUCUGUCUGACAAUCAUCGUCACUAUUGUGAUCUAGAUUGUCUGCUUCUUUUCAUGUUUCUAACUUUUAAUUCUCUGCAAAGAUUAGAACAGUCGAUUGACUUGAAGCCUGGAAGGUCCAGACACUUUUGUAUUAAAAAAACGCAAGUCAUAGCAAUGAAAAUACUGUUACAUGUACUUAUUGAUCUAAUUUAAAUAUCCCUAAACGCCUUGUCUUGAUUCCAACCUUCAAAUUUCGUUAAUGCAUAAAUCCUUAAAUGUUACUUCAAUCUUUUUAAUCUUUUGUGAAAAGACAAACUUUAAUCAUUAACGUCGUUGUUCCAUUGCACAUGAAAACGUAAUGCCACAAUGAUGUUGAUUUAAAAAUCUUUGUAUUUUUUUUUAUUUCUUUUAUUUUUUGUUUUAUAUUGGAUUUGGUUAUCUUGAGAUUUGAAAAUUUAACAUUACUCUUGGAGUAUCUAAACAGAACAAAUUAAAUAGUGGGGAGUAGUUUGAUUGAUUUUGUUGCUUCAACAUGUUACCAUUUGUGUGUAACAAAUCGUCUUGAUAGUUUAUCAGUUCCUUAAUAAUUUAUUCCAUCCCAAACUUUGUUGACAAUGACUUCAUAUUUAGGAGAGUUUAUAAAAACUAGCUGUAUGUUCUGAAUCAGUGAUGCAAGUUUCUUUAAAACUUAUUCAUGGUUUUUGGAUGUGUAUUCAGCAUGGUCAAGACCGUGUGUUGUACACAUCUUUUUUUCUUUUCAUAUUUUACUCUUUAAAAUCAAAGUAUGAUUACUGAAUUGAUUAUGUUGUCCAAUUGUGAUGAACUUGGUGAAUAAUUUAUAGAGGUUACCUCAUUUUCUCUA
Long non-coding RNA from Physcomitrium patens, 2572 nucleotides. RefSeq lists it as uncharacterized. NCBI's taxonomy places the organism in Eukaryota, Viridiplantae, Streptophyta, Bryopsida, Funariales, Funariaceae. The record is from RefSeq and is a predicted model, not a curated record.